GGCCCCUUCGGGGGUACACGAGUGGCGAACGGGUGAGUAACACGUGGGUGAUCUGCCCUGCACUCUGGGAUAAGCCUGGGAAACUGGGUCUAAUACCGGAUAUGAGCUCCUGUCGCAUGGCGGGGGUUGGAAAGGUUUACUGGUGCAGGAUGGGCCCGCGGCCUAUCAGCUUGUUGGUGGGGUAAUGGCCUACCAAGGCGACGACGGGUAGCCGGCCUGAGAGGGCGACCGGCCACACUGGGACUGAGACACGGCCCAGACUCCUACGGGAGGCAGCAGUGGGGAAUAUUGCACAAUGGGCGAAAGCCUGAUGCAGCGACGCCGCGUGAGGGAUGACGGCCUUCGGGUUGUAAACCUCUUUCAGCAGGGACGAAGCGAGAGUGACGGUACCUGCAGAAGAAGCACCGGCCAACUACGUGCCAGCAGCCGCGGUAAUACGUAGGGUGCGAGCGUUGUCCGGAAUUACUGGGCGUAAAGAGCUCGUAGGCGGUUUGUCGCGUCGUCCGUGAAAACUUGGGGCUCAACCCCAAGCUUGCGGGCGAUACGGGCAGACUUGAGUACUGCAGGGGAGACUGGAAUUCCUGGUGUAGCGGUGAAAUGCGCAGAUAUCAGGAGGAACACCGGUGGCGAAGGCGGGUCUCUGGGCAGUAACUGACGCUGAGGAGCGAAAGCGUGGGUAGCGAACAGGAUUAGAUACCCUGGUAGUCCACGCCGUAAACGGUGGGCGCUAGGUGUGGGUUUCCUUCCACGG
RNAcentral lists this ribosomal RNA (751 nucleotides) under Rhodococcus (subgen. Prescottella) equi. Its description in RNAcentral is "Prescottella equi bacterial SSU rRNA". It matches the Rfam family "Bacterial small subunit ribosomal RNA", at positions 73 to 837 of the family's 1533-position model. The record is from RNAcentral. Lineage: Bacteria; Bacillati; Actinomycetota; Actinomycetes; Mycobacteriales; Nocardiaceae.